GCCCAUUGCCAAAUCGAUGGUGCUGCGUGCGGGGUGACCCUGGAGGCGGCUUAACAGGGAACACGGUGAGGACGCCCCAUCAGGAGCCGAAACCUUGGCUGCCCCCGCAACUGUAAGCGAAGAGUGCAUCCACCCGCGAUCCAGGAGACCUGCUAUCGAACAUGAUCAACC
Molecule: non-coding RNA, 171 nt
Filed under: Rhizobium sp.
Lineage: Bacteria; Pseudomonadati; Pseudomonadota; Alphaproteobacteria; Hyphomicrobiales; Rhizobiaceae
Also listed under: 1 other name
Source: RNAcentral